AUUAUUUUGUAGCUGAGUUAUAAGUUCGUGCAUAGUCAUGGAUACGUGGGUCUGAGUUUUUUAAAGGAAUGUAUUUGUCUUGAUUUGGAAAGGACUGAGCAACUGAUUAGUUCUACUGCGAGAUUGAUAGCUGGUAUCGUACAGAAGUAGAUCACGUGUCAAAUUACGAGAAUUACGUAAUGUGGCUCCAAUGUGGAAAAGACGGUCAGCGAUAUAUAUGGGUUUAUACAAAAACUCCACAGCCCACGGCAGAAGAUAUUUUGUUGGUACAUAAUAAACUGGUUGAAAUAGGAGGAGGAUGGGACAAAGUUCCACUAAAAUUUGCAGGAUGCGUUCAAUCUAAUAUACAAGAUUAGAUUGUGUGUGAAUACAUAUAUGUAAAUAUUUAGUAGGUUUUUUUAAAAGUUUCUAGAUAUUACACCACAGAAUAAAAGUAGCA
This is a non-coding RNA of Styela clava, 439 nucleotides long. The record is from RefSeq and is a predicted model, not a curated record. Lineage: Eukaryota; Metazoa; Chordata; Ascidiacea; Stolidobranchia; Styelidae.